AGCAAAGACCUGCUCCUUCUUGUCUUGGUGCUAAAAAUACCAACCUUUCUUUGGACCGCCUGCUGAAAUUUGUUCCUAAGAUCUGCCCUGGGGAGAUGGCUGAGAGCACUCUCGGGGAAGGAGGGAGACUCGAGGUAUAGCUAGCUUGCAGAGGGGUGGUCACGCUGCUGGCCGGGUACUGGUAUUAGAAAGGCUAACCUCAGUGGUCGCCUCCUGCCUCUCUGAAAUGAGGCACAGGCACACUUCUGACUCUUAAACUCAUCCAAGUGGAAGAGGGCUAGGUGGGCAAUAGGUAAGUGGCAUCUAUCAAAACUGGGCCACGUUCUAGUACGAGCAACCAACAGGUUCAGUCGUCAGGAGAUCUUGCAAUGCAGACUGUCCAUUCUCAGUUGCUUUUAUUAAAGGGGAGGCAGUCUGCUUGUGACAGGCUGCUCAGGGAUGUCCGUGGGGAACCUGUCCAUUCAGUCACCCUUAAGCAGAUACUGAGGGCUUGGUUGAGUGCCUCAUCUGUGCUAGGCUCUAUUUUGAUGCUGAGGAUACAACAGUAAACGACUGCUGAAGCCUCUUGCUCCAUAAAGCUUACUUUUAGUGGGGAAGACAAUUACAAGUUGAGAUAAAUGCUGGAACAAAAACAAGGGGCUGGGAUAGAGAAUAGGAGCCACUUUUGAUGGAGCUGGCAGGGAGAGUGUCUUUGAGAAGGAGAUGUCGAAGUCAAAUGGAUGAGGAGACAGCCUGAAGAAAAGCCAGGCAGACACCUUCCAGGUUGAGAGCAGCAUGUGCCGAGGUCCUGGAAAAAGGUCUCCCUACUCCCUGAGAUACAACAAUCUUGAAAUUAGAUCAAUUAAUAACCCUACAAUGGCCUCCAAGUGUUCAAGCGAAAGGAAGGAAGAGUCAAUCAAUGUAACAAACUUCAUUGUCUCUUAUUUUAAGAAGUUGCCACAGCUGCCCCACUCUGAUCAGUCUGAGCCAUCAACACCAAGGCAAAAAGAUUACAACUCAAUGAAACCUCAGAUGAUGCCUAGUGUUCUUUAGCAAUAAAGUAUUUUUUGAUUAA
Molecule: long non-coding RNA, 1054 nt
Organism: Callorhinus ursinus (northern fur seal)
Lineage: Eukaryota; Metazoa; Chordata; Mammalia; Carnivora; Otariidae
Source: RefSeq, a predicted model, not a curated record